AUGUUGGCCGGGCGACGGUUGUCCCGGUUUAAGCGUGUAGGCUGGUUUUCCAGGCAAAUCCGGAAAACUAAGGCUGAGGCGUGAUGACGAGGCACUACGGUGCUGAAGCAACAAAUGCCCUGCUUCCAGGAAAAGCCUCUAAGCAUCAGGUAACAUCAAAUCGUACCCCAAACCGACACAGGUGGUCAGGUAGAGAAUACCAAGGCGCUUGAGAGAACUCGGGUGAAGGAACUAGGCAAAAUGGUGCCGUAACUUCGGGAGAAGGCACGCUGAUAUGUAGGUGAAGUCCCUCGCGGAUGGAGCUGAAAUCAGUCGAAGAUACCAGCUGGCUGCAACUGUUUAUUAAAAACACAGCACUGUGCAAACACGAAAGUGGACGUAUACGGUGUGACGCCUGCCCGGUGCCGGAAGGUUAAUUGAUGGGGUCAGCGCAAGCGAAGCUCUUGAUCGAAGCCCCGGUAAACGGCGGCCGUAACUAUAACGGUCCUAAGGUAGCGAAAUUCCUUGUCGGGUAAGUUCCGACCUGCACGAAUGGCGUAAUGAUGGCCAGGCUGUCUCCACCCGAGACUCAGUGAAAUUGAACUCGCUGUGAAGAUGCAGUGUACCCGCGGCAAGACGGAAAGACCCCGUGAACCUUUACUAUAGCUUGACACUGAACAUUGAGCCUUGAUGUGUAGGAUAGGUGGGAGGCUUUGAAGUGUGGACGCCAGUCUGCAUGGAGCCGACCUUGAAAUACCACCCUUUAAUGUUUGAUGUUCUAACGUUGACCCGUAAUCCGGGUUGCGGACAGUGUCUGGUGGGUAGUUUGACUGGGGCGGUCUCCUCCUAAAGAGUAACGGAGGAGCACGAAGGUUGGCUAAUCCUGGUCGGACAUCAGGAGGUUAGUGCAAUGGCAUAAGCCAGCUUGACUGCGAGCGUGACGGCGCGAGCAGGUGCGAAAGCAGGUCAUAGUGAUCCGGUGGUUCUGAAUGGAAGGGCCAUCGCUCAACGGAUAAAAGGUACUCCGGGGAUAACAGGCUGAUACCGCCCAAGAGUUCAUAUCGACGGCGGUGUUUGGCACCUCGAUGUCGGCUCAUCACAUCCUGGGGCUGAAGUAGGUCCCAAGGGUAUGGCUGUUCGCCAUUUAAAGUGGUACGCGAGCUGGGUUUAGAACGUCGUGAGACAGUUCGGUCCCUAUCUGCCGUGGGCGCUGGAGAACUGAGGGGGGCUGCUCCUAGUACGAGAGGACCGGAGUGGACGCAUCACUGGUGUUCGGGUUGUCAUGCCAAUGGCACUGCCCGGUAGCUAAAUGCGGAAGAGAUAAGUGCUGAAAGCAUCUAAGCACGAAACUUGCCCCGAGAUGAGUUCUCCCUGACUCCUUGAGAGUCC
This 1368-nucleotide ribosomal RNA is filed under the name Escherichia coli. Its description in RNAcentral is "partial 23S ribosomal RNA". It matches the Rfam family "Bacterial large subunit ribosomal RNA", at positions 1484 to 2828 of the family's 2925-position model. The record is from RNAcentral. Lineage: Bacteria; Pseudomonadati; Pseudomonadota; Gammaproteobacteria; Enterobacterales; Enterobacteriaceae.